Long non-coding RNA from Oncorhynchus keta (chum salmon), 2124 nucleotides. RefSeq lists it as uncharacterized. The record is from RefSeq and is a predicted model, not a curated record. Lineage: Eukaryota; Metazoa; Chordata; Actinopteri; Salmoniformes; Salmonidae. The transcript has 3 exons.
UUGUCUUUCUCCCUCCUCUCUCUGUCUGUUUGUCUGUCUCCCUCCUCUCUCUGUUUGUUUGUCUGUCUCUCUCCUCUCUCUGUCUGUCUAUCUGUCUCCCUCCUCUCUCUGUAGGUCUGUCUCCCUCCUCUCUCUGUCUGUAGGUCUGUCUCCCUCCUCUCUCUGUCUGUAGGUCUGUCUCCCUCCUCUCUCUGCCUGUUUGUCUGUCUCCCUCCUCUCUCUGUUUGUUUGUCUGUCUCCCUCCUCUCUCUGUCUGUCUAUCUGUCUCCCUCCUCUCUCUGUCUGUCUAUCUGUCUCCCUCCUCUCUCUGUCUGUAGGUCUGUCUCCCUCCUCUCUCUGUCUGUAGGUCUGUCUCCCUCCUCUCUCUGUCUGUAGGUCUGUCUCCCUCCUCUCUCUGCCUGUUUGUCUGUCUCCCUCCUCUCUCUGUUUGUUUGUCUGUCUCCCUCCUCUCUCUGUCUGUCUAUCUGUCUCCCUCCUCUCUCUGUCUGUCUAUCUGUCUCCCUCCUCUCUCUGUCUGUAGGUCUGUCUCCCUCCUCUCUCUGUCUGUAGGUCUGUCUCCCUCCUCUCUCUGCCUGUUUGUCUGUCUCCCUCCUCUCUCUGUUUGUCUGUCUCCCUCCUCUCUCUGUCUGUCUAUCUGUCUCCCUCCUCUCUCUGUCUGUCUAUCUGUCUCCCUCCUCUCUCUGUCUGUCUAUCUGUCUCCCUCCUCUCUCUGUCUGUAGGUCUGUCUCCCUCCUUCCUUUGUCUGUCAAUCUGUCUCCCUCCUCUCUCUGUCUGUCUAUCUGUCUCCCUCCUCUCUCUGUCUGUCUAUCUGUCUCCCUCCUCUCUCUGUCUGUUUGUCUGUCUCCCUCCUCUCUGUCUGUAGGUCUGUCUCCCUCCUCUCUCUGCCUGUUUGUCUGUCUCCCUCCUCUCUCUGUCUGUUUGUCUGUCUCCCUCCUCUCUCUGUUUGUUUGUCUGUCUCCCUCCUCUCUCUGUAUGUUUGUCUGUCUCCCUCCUCUCUCUGUUUGUUUGUCUGUCUCUCUCCUCUCUCUGUCUGUUUGUCUGUCUCCCUCCUCUCUCAGUCUGUCUGUCUGUCUCCCUCCUCUCUCAGUCUGUAGGUCUGUUUCCCUCCUUCCUCUGUCUGUUUGUCUGUCUCCCUCCUCUCUCUGUUUGUUUGUCUGUCUCCCUCCUCUCUCUGUUUGUUUGUCUGUCUCUCUCCUCUCUCUGUCUGUUUGUCUGUCUCCCUCCUCUCUCAGUCUGUAGGUCUGUCUCCCUCCUUCCUCUGUCUGUAGGUCUGUCUCCCUCCUUCCUCUGUCUGUAGGUCUGUCUCCCUCCUCUCUCUGUCUGUCUAUCUGUCUCCCUCCUCUCUCUGUCUGUCUAUCUGUCUCCCUCCUCUCUCUGUCUGUAGGUCUGUCUCCCUCCUUCCUCUGUCUGUCAAUCUGUCUCCCUCCUCUCUCUGUCUGUCUAUCUGUCUCCCUCCUCUCUCUGUCUGUCUAUCUGUCUCCCUCCUCUCUCUGUCUGUCUCCCUCCUCUCUCUGUCUGUUUGUCUGUCUCCCUCCUCUCUCUGUCUGUAGGUCUGUCUCUCUCCUCUCUCUGUCUGUUUGUCUGUCUCUCUCCUCUCUCUGUCUGUUUGUCUGUCUCCCUCCUUCCUCUGUCUGUUUGUCUGUCUCCCUCCUCUCUCUGUUUGUUUGUCUGUCUCCCUCCUCUCUCUGUUUGUUUGUCUGUCUCCCUCCUCUCUCUGUCUGUUUGUCUGUCUCCCUCCUCUCUCUGUUUGUUUGUCUGUCUCCCUCCUCUCUCUGUUUGUUUGUCUGUCUCUCUCCUCUCUCUGUCUGUUUGUCUGCCUCCCUCCUCUCUCUGUUUGUUUGUCUGUCUCUCUCCUCUCUCUGUCUGUUUGUCUGUCUCCCUCCUCUCUCUGUCUGUAGGUCUGUCUCUCUCCUCUCUCUGUCUGUUUGUCUGUCUCUCUCCUCUCUCUGUCUGUUUGUCUGUCUCCCUCCUUCCUCUGUCUGUUUGUCUGUCUCCCUCCUCUCUCUGUUUGUUUGUCUGUCUCCCUCCUCUCUCUGUUUGUUUGUCUGUCUCCCUCCUCUCUCUGUCUGUUUGUCUGUCUCCCUCCUCUCUCUGUUUGUUUGUCUGUCUCCCUCCUCUCUCUGU